AUGGCUCAGGAUGAACGCUAGCUACAGGCUUAACACAUGCAAGUCGAGGGGCAGCAUGAGAUUAGCUUGCUAAUCUUGAUGGCGACCGGCGCACGGGUGCGUAACACGUAUCCAAUCUACCCAUGGCUCGGAGAUAGCCUUUCGAAAGAAAGAUUAAUACCCGAUGGUCUGCGAUUGAGACAUCUCGAUUGCAGUAAAGACUUGUCGGCGAUGGAUGGGGAUGCGUCCGAUUAGCUAGUUGGCGGGGUAACGGCCCACCAAGGCGACGAUCGGUAGGGGUUCUGAGAGGAAGGUCCCCCACACUGGAACUGAGACACGGUCCAGACUCCUACGGGAGGCAGCAGUGAGGAAUAUUGGUCAAUGGGCGAUGGCCUGAACCAGCCAAGUAGCGUGAGGGACGACGGCCCUACGGGUUGUAAACCUCUUUUGUAUGGGAAUAAAGUGAGGCACGUGUGCCUUUUUGUAUGUACCUUACGAAUAAGCAUCGGCUAAUUCCGUGCCAGCAGCUGC
This 510-nucleotide ribosomal RNA is filed under the name uncultured bacterium. RNAcentral's name for it is "bacterial SSU rRNA". It matches the Rfam family "Bacterial small subunit ribosomal RNA", at positions 19 to 518 of the family's 1533-position model. The record is from RNAcentral.